UACGGAGGGUGCAAGCGUUGUCCGGAUUUAUUGGGUUUAAAGGGUGCGUAGGCGGCUUAUUAAGUCAGGGGUGAAAGACUAUUGCUUAACAAUGGCAGUGCCUUUGAUACUGAUAGGCUUGAGUACAGCUGAGGCAGAUGGAACGGGUGGUGUAGCGGUGAAAUGCAUAGAUACCAUCCAGAACACCGAUUGCGAAGGCAGUCUGCUAAACUGUAACUGACGCUGAGGCGCGAAGGCUAGGGGAGCAAACAGG
RNAcentral lists this ribosomal RNA (253 nucleotides) under uncultured bacterium. RNAcentral describes it as "partial 16S ribosomal RNA". It matches the Rfam family "Bacterial small subunit ribosomal RNA", at positions 524 to 776 of the family's 1533-position model. The record is from RNAcentral.